Molecule: ribosomal RNA, 460 nt
Filed under: uncultured bacterium
Lineage: Bacteria
Description: partial 16S ribosomal RNA
Rfam family: Bacterial small subunit ribosomal RNA
Source: RNAcentral
GAUUAACGCUGGCGGGAUGCAUAACACAUGCAAGUCGAGCGCCCCUUCGGGGGAGCGGCGCACGGCUGAGUAGCACGUGGGAACAUACCCUGCAGUGGGGGACAACACGCCGAAAGGCGUGCUAAUCCCGCAUACGCUCGCCUCACUUCGAGGCGAGGAAAACCGCAAGGUGCUGGAGGCAUGGCCCGCGGCCCAUCAGGUAGUUGGUGCGGUAACGGCGCACCAAGCCAAUGACGGGUAGCUGGUCUGAGAGGACAGACAGCCACAUUGGGACUGAGACACGGCCCAAACUCCUACGGGAGGCAGCAGUGGGGAAUAUUGGACAAUGGGCGCAAGCCUGAUCCAGCCAUGCCGCGUGAGUGAUGAAGGCCUUAGGGUUGUAAAGCUCUUUUGUCCGGGAAGAUAAUGACUGUACCGGAAGAAUAAGCCCCGGCUAACUUCGUGCCAGCAGCCGCCGUAA